Bufo bufo (common toad) is the source of this 154-nucleotide long non-coding RNA. RefSeq lists it as uncharacterized. The transcript has 3 exons. The record is from RefSeq and is a predicted model, not a curated record. NCBI's taxonomy places the organism in Eukaryota, Metazoa, Chordata, Amphibia, Anura, Bufonidae.
CAGAUUCAGGUUAUCUAAGAAUUACAUUAUGGAUUCUGUUACCACAGACCAUAAGGGAAUUCUAUGACAGCAUGCACCACGGAAGCCUAUGAGAAGCAUUCCGUAUUGCAUUCCGCCAUAAUAGAAGUCUAGGCCAGCAAUACAGGAUGCUACC